GUCUAUGGCCAUAACACCCUGAACAUGCCCAAUCUCGUCUGAUCUCAGAAGCUAAGCAGUGUUGGGCCUAGUUAGUACUUGGAUGGGAGAUUUUACACUCUAGAAAUUAGAGUGUAUGUAUAGGCA
This 126-nucleotide ribosomal RNA is filed under the name Castor canadensis (American beaver). Lineage: Eukaryota; Metazoa; Chordata; Mammalia; Rodentia; Castoridae. The record is from RNAcentral.